AGGACGAACGCUGGCGGCGUGCUUAACACAUGCAAGUCGAGCGGUAAGGUCUUUCGGGGUACACGAGCGGCGAACGGGUGAGUAACACGUGGGUGAUCUGCCCUGCACUUCGGGAUAAGCCUGGGAAACUGGGUCUAAUACCGGAUAUGACCUCAGGUUGCAUGACUUGGGGUGGAAAGAUUUAGUCGGUGCAGGAUGGGCCCGCGGCCUAUCAGCUUGGUUGGUGGGGUAAUGGCCUACCAAGGCGACGACGGGUAGCCGACCUGAGAGGGUGACCGGCCACACUGGGACUGAGACACGGCCCAGACUCCUACGGGAGGCAGCAGGUGGGAAUAGUUGCACAAGUGGGACGAAAGCCGUGAUGCAGCGACGCCGCGUGAGGAUGACGGCCUUCGGGUU
This 399-nucleotide ribosomal RNA is filed under the name uncultured soil bacterium. Its description in RNAcentral is "bacterial SSU rRNA". It matches the Rfam family "Bacterial small subunit ribosomal RNA", at positions 26 to 424 of the family's 1533-position model. The record is from RNAcentral.